UACACCUGCAGCAUAUGGAAGUUCCCAGGCUAGGGGUAGAAUCGGAGCUGGAGCUUUGACCUUGGCCACAGCCAGGGCAAAACCAGAUCUGAGCUUGGUGGUGCUAAGAACCCCCCUUUUUUUAAGACAAAUCUUUUUAAAUACUUAGUAGCAUACAUCUGUAAUGGCUUUGACAAUGAGUGAAUUCUUUCUAACCUUGUGCUUGCAUUUAGCAGGGAGAAAUUAGAUAAUCUGGGAGGAUUUGCUGAACUGAAUAGUAUUGACCAUCUAGUCAAAAGUCAGGUCAAGUGAGGGGAAAAAUUGUCAGAGCAGUUUUUUAUUAAAGUGAACAUCAGUUAAUGGAUAAUUAAUUAUUUGAGUUAUAGUAGAGAGAUUUUAUAUAUCUCCAAGGAGGUGGACUAAGGUCAUUCAUAUUCAAAUUUCCUAUGAUUUGAUAAAUGGUUGCCCCUUUUGAUGAAGCCACCUGUUUAAAAAAAAAAAAAAACACUGGCACACAUAGUCUCAGCAUAUUCAACUUGAUUGAACACCUUUAUAGGAAAUGAAAAACAGAUGUGGCUCCUCUCACCUCACUAGGGCUGAAGAAAGUAUUUAAAAAUACAAAGGAAUGGCACUUCCUUCACAUUAAGGAAAAAAGUAAUAUUUUCAAUAACAGAAAAAUGAUUAGUAUUAUAUAAAACUCUUCCUUUCAGUGAAAAUUGAACUCCCAGAUAUAUUAUUCCUAUGAUUUCAAAUUCAUCAUAUUCUAAAUUAGCACCCCCACCCCUCCUAUCCAAAUCAUUGACUGCUUUCAAUCUGUCUGCUCUCUACUAAAGUCAUUAUUUAACUACCACUCAUUUCAUCAAUUCUUGUCUUCUGCCAAAUUUCACUAUCUCUACAGCCUUGUCCAACACAACCCAAACAACUCUCUUAUUAUCUAUGGAAAUCAUAGAACUUGGUCCUACUACUACUCUGCUCCAUUUUCUUGCUCCUCCUGCCCUGACCUCCUACCAACUCCUCCCCUUAACUUUAGAGUCAAGCACAUAACCACCAAAGAAAAAUCAGUCAUAUGUAGGCACUGUGGGCCUCAAUUUUUGACUUCCUCCUUUCUCCCUAUUGAAGUCCAGGGCACAUAGGAGAUGCUCAUUAAAUACUGAUGGUCUGGUAGCUUCUAACAGGAGUAAUUAUAAUAUAGAUUCAACUACAUUCCUCGGAAAACCACAUUCUCUGAAAUGUAACUACAGGAAGCAAAGCCUUGUACUCAGUAGUAUUUAGUGUCUUUAUCCCUUUAAAAAAGUAUUUAAGAGUUCCCAGUAUUUCCUAAGGAAUCAUUGCAGCAUGGUUCAAGGGAGAUAGGAAUAAAAUGUCUUAGUCGGAGCUUCCAAAUUCCUUCCAUCCCCCUCUCAUGGCCAAUGUACCCAUCCUACAGCUGAUGGCUCAUAGCUGAGUCCUUCACUGGGCUCUGCCCUCAGCAGCUGCAGGAAGAUAUCUUGCUCAAGAUUAUACCCCCCUCCCAAGGGGAAGCCCAUAGCCAGUGACUGCCUAAUAUGGGAAUAAGAAAGUCCCUACACUUGACUUAAUUUUGGAAAAAUUUGAAGAGCCUGUAGGAUCUGUAAAGACUAGAGUUGCAAGCAUGCUGCCAUCAGUUUCAGAAGCAAGGAAACCUUCCCUUUCCAGGGAAACCAACGGAACACACGUGUCUUCCCCACAUGUGUUCUUUUGAUGGCAAGAACUUUAACAUCUUUAGCCCAUCCUAAGCACAAUCCUUACAAAAGACAAGGCUCUCAAACAGCAUUUCUUAUUCAUUCACAUGGAAUUAAUCAAUUAAAAUGCAUAUUGAAAGGAGCAAUUCUGCUAAUUUAAUAGGACUGAGGAACAGUAGUUAUCAAGGGCCAGCAUAAGCCACGAUUCCUGCACAAAAAUCAUGUGAGUCAUGUCUAUUGCAGCACCAGAAUUUGAGCAUAUGAGGAUCUUAGCCUGUGCCACAGUGGUUGAAAGGGGCUUCAAACUCAAAAGUUAAAGCUGGGUUGGUAGGGUACUUUGAGAAUACUGAGAAAGCAUUCAAUGUCCAUGGUAAGAUAUGUUAGGAAGGGGAAGGAAAUACUGACAGAGAUCAAAAGUGUUCUGCUAAAGCCCUCUCCAGGUACACCUUGGUGUUCCCACUGACCUCAAAAGUUUUUAAAAGUAUAAAUUCCUGUGCUCCAUUCCUCCAUUGAAUCAGAAUCCUCAGGGCUAAGGAGGUGAGUUUUGACAACAGCUAGAUUAUGCAACUUGUUCUUCUAGUUGAAGUCUAAUGAUCAAGCACUUAAUAUUUAGCUUGUGCCCAAGUAAGUCACAUUCCUUUCCAGUUUAUCUUCAAUGUUUGGCUAUUUCCCAACUUACUAGAAUUUCCAAUAUGGAGUAAUCAGAAAAAGUAAGGAAAAAACAAUCAUCCCUACUGGUGUCUUUUGUUCUACUUAUUAGAAGUAUAGACAAAAUAUUUGAUAAGGAGAGAAUUCAAACUCCACUAAAAUGAGGGUUUUUUCUUAAUUUUAGGAGACUCACUUUUGAUUUCCAGCUAUAAUUCAAAAUUGUUAUAUUUAUUGCUGGUUAACAAGAGAGUUUACAUAUGCUAGGGAUAAACCCUGUUUUUUUUUUUUUAAUUAUUGAACGUAUAUUCUAAAGCAAUAUACUUUUUGUAUGUAAUCUUAAUAUAAAAACAUUAUGAAAUUUCUAUUUCCACCUUGCCAUUACAUUAUGUGUAACACUUUGCUUUUUCCUUUUUUCUCCAACUGCCUUCUCCCACUUCUUCCUCUCAACUGAAUUGCCCCUUUUGGGUUAUUUUGCUAUUGCCAUCACCAUAAAGAGAGAAACUGUAAACAUUCUCAUUGAAGAGUUACAUUUAAACCAUAGCAUUUUUGCUAGGAUGGGUGGCAACUUUCUAACACAACUAAGCAAAGAUAGUUUGAACAAGUCUCAUUGCAGAAUGUUGCCUUAUGCGGUACUUGUAAACGUUGGCCUCUGUAUUUAUGUAGCACCCGGCUAACAGUGGUUUAGUCUUAGGAGGAAAGAAGAAAGGACAUGAAGAUAACCCAUGAUGGAUGUGAGACCAGAAGCUCAACAUGAAGACAUUUGGAAUGAAGAUGGAAUUCAGGAGGAGUCUUUGGGAAAUUCACAAAACUGGGAAUCAAAAUACUCUGGAGAUACAGACUCUUAUUUUGUUCCUUUUCUUUCUAAAUCAUAAAUCUGAGUAGGUAAUUAUAUGUCUUGUUUUCCUUAUGCUCAUCAAACCUCAUUCCAUUGGCUCCUGUCUGCCAGACCUGGAGACUUGGGGCUCCCCCUGAUCUUCUUACCUUCUGUAUGGCACACCCCAUCCUCUGAGCAAAGUAGAAGGUGGGCUUUUUGCUGAAUACACUUGCUCGUGCUUACAAUAGCUUUGUUCCUGAGCUUCCCUCUGCCUGAAAUGUAAUACCUUCUCCCUACCAAUGGGAAUCCCUCAAAGUCUAACACAAAUCCCCCUUCUUUACUAAGCCUCUCCUAAUUCCUCCAAGUACUUGUGUGAUGACCCUUCCUUGAGCCUGUACCAUACUUGACACCUCUCUCAGAAGUAUACAUAGCAGAUAACCUUGAAUUAUAAUUAUAUAGGAUUUUGAUAAUCACUCCUACCCCUAACUAACCUUGUUUGGGUCCAGACAUAUGGCAUCAUUCAUCCCUGUAUUCUUGCAGGCCCUCUUUUAGUGCCCUGCACACUGAAGGUGCUCAAAUAUCUAUGGUGGAAGUAGCAGGAAGAAAGGGGGAGGGAAGGAAGGAGAAAGCAGUGUAAGGAAGGAAGGAGGGAAAGAGGGAGGGAGGAAAUAAGGAAGGAAGGUUUGGCCAUUUGUUCUCCCUCUAUUUUUAGGUUGCAAACUACUUAGUAUUAAUACUCUCUCACUUAUUACUAAAUUUCUUUCACUUUCUUCAAUCAGCAGUAUUUGUCUCAGUUUACAAUGCAGCAUGAGUGUGGGAGAACACUAAAAGCUGAUCUACUGUCGCUAAACACUUAACGGUUUGUUCAUGUAACACUGAUAUACUGAUAACCUACUAUAUGCCCAGCACAGUGCCUGGCCCUGGAAAUAGGAAACCCAACAGGAACUGGCCUCCUGGAGCUAAGCUAAGUGGUUCCCUCCUGGCUCCCUCCUGGAAAGCAGCACGCCCACUGACAGAGCAGUAAGCUUUGUGAUGGUGCUAUUCUGGGCCCUGGAGGAGAACCCCGACAACGGAAAGCAGCAGAGCCCACCCCUCUAAAGAACCCUCAGAUGCAUUUACUCUGCACACUAUGGAGCUGGGAGCCUCUUGAGUACUAUUAGGGAGUUCUGUCCUGGUGAGAACAAUUAGGGGCUUUAACAGAAAUAUUCAAAAGCCAAGCACUGAGAGCCACCAGAUUCAUUUGUUACAUUCACAUUUUCUCCCUUGGCCACACGAAGCUUUGUUUACACAAAAUACUUGAUAUCAUUCUAAGUUUCUCGGUUUUCCAUUUUUACUGCUGUGUUUAGCUCCCCCAGCUGUGUUCCUUCUGAAAUAAAGUUGGCGGAGAGGCUGGGAACAUCACAGUGUUCAUAGCCAGUAUCAUUUCUUCAAAUAGGUAUGAUAGGCAGACAGAAGGCACUGCCAAGACCCAGCCUGAAUAAAAGUAUGUCCUCCACAGUCCCCACCCCACCUUAACAUCUACGAUGAAGUCUACUGAAGAUAUUUUUUUUCCUGGAUCAGAAAAAAAUUAAUGGCUAAUGGCAUAUUUUCUCUAAAUGUCACUAUUAUAAUAUAAGGGCAGCAAACUUUUCCCCCUUAGCAUAGGAUUCAUAUAUUAAACACCUUGACAAAAAUCACACACACACACACACACACACACACACACACACACACACACACACACACACACACACAACUGUAUCUCCUUCCCUUAGUAGCUGUGUGGUGAUUAACUUGGCACAUUUGAUAAAAAUAAUACUGUCUUCAUUAUUCCCAAGUUGGUUUAUUAUUAUCUAUAUAAACAGGGGAACUCUGUCGAUGAAGAAAUGAAAUACGAAAAUCCGUAUUUUCAAAGUAAGAUAAAAUGUGACUAAAAGAUAUUUUGAUAAGACCCCUUUGUGGGGGACUUAGAAAGCAAGAAGAUAACAUGCAACACUGAGAGUAUGAUGACAGUUCUAAAUGCCAGGGAUGUCCAGAGGGGCUGUGCAGGAAGUCAGGAAGAGAGCCAGGCUCCAACGUAGAGCAGAUCCCUGCUAAUGGGAAAGACAACAGUACAGAAAAGGCAAGGAGGCUUCAUCAGUGACCUGGUGCAAAUGAGGUCAAGAACAGUAAACUGUGUAUAAAUUUUGAGUGGGGCA
This 5318-nucleotide long non-coding RNA is filed under the name Sus scrofa (pig). RNAcentral's name for it is "lncRNA (ENSSSCG00055006210.1)". The record is from RNAcentral. Lineage: Eukaryota; Metazoa; Chordata; Mammalia; Artiodactyla; Suidae.